GUUAAGCGACUAAGCGUACACGGUGGAUGCCCUGGCAGUCAGAGGCGAUGAAGGACGUGCUAAUCUGCGAUAAGCGUCGGUAAGGUGAUAUGAACCGUUAUAACCGGCGAUUUCCGAAUGGGGAAACCCAGUGUGUUUCGACACACUAUCAUUAACUGAAUCCAUAGGUUAAUGAGGCGAACCGGGGGAACUGAAACAUCUAAGUACCCCGAGGAAAAGAAAUCAACCGAGAUUCCCCCAGUAGCGGCGAGCGAACGGGGAGCAGCCCAGAGCCUGAAUCAGUGUGUGUGUUAGUGGAAGCGUCUGGAAAGGCGCGCGAUACAGGGUGACAGCCCCGUACACAAAAAUGCACAUGCUGUGAGCUCGAUGAGUAGGGCGGGACACGUGGUAUCCUGUCUGAAUAUGGGGGGACCAUCCUCCAAGGCUAAAUACUCCUGACUGACCGAUAGUGAACCAGUACCGUGAGGGAAAGGCGAAAAGAACCCCGGCGAGGGGAGUGAAAAAGAACCUGAAACCGUGUACGUACAAGCAGUGGGAGCACGCUUAGGCGUGUGACUGCGUACCUUUUGUAUAAUGGGUCAGCGACUUAUAUUCUGUAGCAAGGUUAACCGAAUAGGGGAGCCGAAGGGAAACCGAGUCUUAACUGGGCGUUAAGUUGCAGGGUAUAGACCCGAAACCCGGUGAUCUAGCCAUGGGCAGGUUGAAGGUUGGGUAACACUAACUGGAGGACCGAACCGACUAAUGUUGAAAAAUUAGCGGAUGACUUGUGGCUGGGGGUGAAAGGCCAAUCAAACCGGGAGAUAGCUGGUUCUCCCCGAAAGCUAUUUAGGUAGCGCCUCGUGAAUUCAUCUCCGGGGGUAGAGCACUGUUUCGGCAAGGGGGUCAUCCCGACUUACCAACCCGAUGCAAACUGCGAAUACCGGAGAAUGUUAUCACGGGAGACACACGGCGGGUGCUAACGUCCGUCGUGAAGAGGGAAACAACCCAGACCGCCAGCUAAGGUCCCAAAGUCAUGGUUAAGUGGGAAACGAUGUGGGAAGGCCCAGACAGCCAGGAUGUUGGCUUAGAAGCAGCCAUCAUUUAAAGAAAGCGUAAUAGCUCACUGGUCGAGUCGGCCUGCGCGGAAGAUGUAACGGGGCUAAACCAUGCACCGAAGCUGCGGCAGCGACGCUGAUGCGUUGUUGGGUAGGGGAGCGUUCUGUAAGCCUGCGAAGGUGUGCUGUGAGGCAUGCUGGAGGUAUCAGAAGUGCGAAUGCUGACAUAAGUAACGAUAAAGCGGGUGAAAAGCCCGCUCGCCGGAAGACCAAGGGUUCCUGUCCAACGUUAAUCGGGGCAGGGUGAGUCGACCCCUAAGGCGAGGCCGAAAGGCGUAGUCGAUGGGAAACAGGUUAAUAUUCCUGUACUUGGUGUUACUGCGAAGGGGGGACGGAGAAGGCUAUGUUGGCCGGGCGACGGUUGUCCCGGUUUAAGCGUGUAGGCUGGUUUUCCAGGCAAAUCCGGAAAAUCAAGGCUGAGGCGUGAUGACGAGGCACUACGGUGCUGAAGCAACAAAUGCCCUGCUUCCAGGAAAAGCCUCUAAGCAUCAGGUAACAUCAAAUCGUACCCCAAACCGACACAGGUGGUCAGGUAGAGAAUACCAAGGCGCUUGAGAGAACUCGGGUGAAGGAACUAGGCAAAAUGGUGCCGUAACUUCGGGAGAAGGCACGCUGAUAUGUAGGUGAAGUCCCUCGCGGAUGGAGCUGAAAUCAGUCGAAGAUACCAGCUGGCUGCAACUGUUUAUUAAAAACACAGCACUGUGCAAACACGAAAGUGGACGUAUACGGUGUGACGCCUGCCCGGUGCCGGAAGGUUAAUUGAUGGGGUUAGCCGCAAGGCGAAGCUCUUGAUCGAAGCCCCGGUAAACGGCGGCCGUAACUAUAACGGUCCUAAGGUAGCGAAAUUCCUUGUCGGGUAAGUUCCGACCUGCACGAAUGGCGUAAUGAUGGCCAGGCUGUCUCCACCCGAGACUCAGUGAAAUUGAACUCGCUGUGAAGAUGCAGUGUACCCGCGGCAAGACGGAAAGACCCCGUGAACCUUUACUAUAGCUUGACACUGAACAUUGAGCCUUGAUGUGUAGGAUA
RNAcentral lists this ribosomal RNA (2120 nucleotides) under Escherichia coli. RNAcentral describes it as "partial 23S ribosomal RNA". It matches the Rfam family "Bacterial large subunit ribosomal RNA", at positions 1 to 2145 of the family's 2925-position model. The record is from RNAcentral. Lineage: Bacteria; Pseudomonadati; Pseudomonadota; Gammaproteobacteria; Enterobacterales; Enterobacteriaceae.